UAGAUUGAAGCCCGCUGGAUUGGGCUGUCAGUUGUUAACUGAUGAUUCGCGGGAUCAAGGCCCGUCGGUCUAG
Molecule: transfer RNA, 73 nt
Filed under: Geckolepis petiti
Lineage: Eukaryota; Metazoa; Chordata; Lepidosauria; Squamata; Gekkonidae
Also listed under: 1 other name
Description: tRNA-Asn
Source: RNAcentral